RNAcentral lists this ribosomal RNA (1348 nucleotides) under uncultured bacterium. Its description in RNAcentral is "partial 16S ribosomal RNA". It matches the Rfam family "Bacterial small subunit ribosomal RNA", at positions 28 to 1367 of the family's 1533-position model. The record is from RNAcentral.
GAUGAACGCUAGCUACAGGCUUAACACAUGCAAGUCGAGGGGCAGCAUUUUAGUUUGCUUGCAAACUGAAGAUGGCGACUGGCGCACGGGUGAGUAACACGUAUCCAACCUGCCGAUAACUCCGGAAUAGCCUUUCGAAAGAAAGAUUAAUACCGGAUAGCAUACGAAUAUCGCAUGAUAUUUUUAUUAAAGAAUUUCGGUUAUCGAUGGGGAUGCGUUCCAUUAGUUUGUUGGCGGGGUAACGGCCCACCAAGACUACGAUGGAUAGGGGUUCUGAGAGGAAGGUCCCCCACAUUGGAACUGAGACACGGUCCAAACUCCUACGGGAGGCAGCAGUGAGGAAUAUUGGUCAAUGGGCGCGAGCCUGAACCAGCCAAGUAGCGUGAAGGAUGAAGGCUCUAUGGGUCGUAAACUUCUUUUAUAUGGGAAUAAAGUUUUCCACGUGUGGAAUUUUGUAUGUACCAUAUGAAUAAGGAUCGGCUAACUCCGUGCCAGCAGCCGCGGUAAUACGGAGGAUCCGAGCGUUAUCCGGAUUUAUUGGGUUUAAAGGGAGCGUAGGUGGAUUGUUAAGUCAGUUGUGAAAGUUUGCGGCUCAACCGUAAAAUUGCAGUUGAAACUGGCAGUCUUGAGUACAGUAGAGGUGGGCGGAAUUCGUGGUGUAGCGGUGAAAUGCUUAGAUAUCACGAAGAACUCCGAUUGCGAAGGCAGCUCACUAGACUGUUACUGACACUGAUGCUCGAAAGUGUGGGUAUCAAACGGGACUAGAUACCCUGGUAGUCCACACAGUAAACGAUGAAUACUCGCUGUUUGCGAUAUACAGUAAGCGGCCAAGCGAAAGCAUUAAGUAUUCCACCUGGGGAGUACGCCGGCAACGGUGAAACUCAAAGGAAUUGACGGGGGCCCGCACAAGCGGAGGAACAUGUGGUUUAAUUCGAAGCAACGCGAAGAACCUUACCAGGUCUUGACAUCCUUCUGACCACUCCGUAAUGGGAGUUUUCCUUCGGGACAGAAGAGACAGGUGGUGCAUGGUUGUCGUCAGCUCGUGUCGUGAGAUGUUGGGUUAAGUCCCGCAACGAGCGCAACCCCUAUCUUCAGUAGCCAGCAGGUAGAGCUGGGCACUCUGGAGAGACUGCCAGGGAUAACCUGGAGGAAGGUGGGGAGGACGUCAAAUCAUCAUGCCCCUUAUGAUCCGGGCGACACACGUGCUACAAUGGCGGUCACAGAGUGAGGCGAACCUGCGAGGGGGAGCAAACCACAAAAAGGCCGUCCCAGUUCGGACUGUAGUCUGCAACCCGACUACACGAAGCUGGAAUCGCUAGUAAUCGCGAAUCAGAAUGUCGCGGUGAAU